GACGCUGCCGCUGAAUAAGCGGGGUUGAUCCUAUGACAAGGCGCGGGAGAUUUUCCGCGCCUUUUUUUAUCCGGG
RNAcentral lists this small RNA (75 nucleotides) under Allorhizobium ampelinum S4. RNAcentral describes it as "Agrobacterium vitis S4 suhB". Lineage: Bacteria; Pseudomonadati; Pseudomonadota; Alphaproteobacteria; Hyphomicrobiales; Rhizobiaceae. The record is from RNAcentral.